UUUGAAUGUGAUUGGAAAAGAAGACU
RNAcentral lists this non-coding RNA (26 nucleotides) under Rattus norvegicus (Norway rat). The record is from RNAcentral. Lineage: Eukaryota; Metazoa; Chordata; Mammalia; Rodentia; Muridae.